CAAAUACUCCCUCCGUCCGGAAAUACUUGUCAUCAAAAUGGAUAAAAGGAAAUGUAUCUAGAUGUAUUUUAGUUUUAGAUACAUCUCUUUUUAUCCAUUUUGAUGACAAGUAUUUUCGGACGGAGGGAGUAGAAA
Molecule: non-coding RNA, 135 nt
Organism: Triticum aestivum (bread wheat)
Lineage: Eukaryota; Viridiplantae; Streptophyta; Magnoliopsida; Poales; Poaceae
Source: Rfam